CGUAGGGUGCGAGCGUUAAUCGGAAUUACUGGGCGUAAAGCGUGCGCAGGCGGUUUUGUAAGCCAGAUGUGAAAUCCCCGGGCUUAACCUGGGAAUGGCAUUUGGGACUGCAAGGCUGGAGUGCGGCAGAGGAGACUGGAAUUCCCGGUGUAGCAGUGAAAUGCGUAGAUAUCGGGAGGAAUACCGAUGGCGAAGGCAGGUCUCUGGGCUGGCACUGACGCUCACGCACGAAAGCGUGGGGAGCAAACAGGAUUAGAUACCCUGGUAGUCCACGCCCUAAACGAUGUCGACUGGUUGUUGGGGGUUUGACACUCUCAGUAACGAAGCUAACGCGUGAAGUCGACCGCCUGGGGAGUACGGCCGCAAGGUUA
RNAcentral lists this ribosomal RNA (371 nucleotides) under uncultured organism. RNAcentral's name for it is "bacterial SSU rRNA". It matches the Rfam family "Bacterial small subunit ribosomal RNA", at positions 526 to 896 of the family's 1533-position model. The record is from RNAcentral.